Molecule: ribosomal RNA, 450 nt
Filed under: uncultured bacterium
Lineage: Bacteria
Description: partial 16S ribosomal RNA
Rfam family: Bacterial small subunit ribosomal RNA
Source: RNAcentral
GUGGGGAAUAUUGGACAAUGGGCGAAAGCCUGAUCCAGCCAUGCCGCGUGUGUGAAGAAGGUCUUCGGAUUGUAAAGCACUUUAAGUUGGGAGGAAGGGCAGUAAGUUAAUACCUUGCUGUUUUGACGUUACCGACAGAAUAAGCACCGGCUAACUUCGUGCCAGCAGCCGCGGUAAUACGAAGGGUGCAAGCGUUAAUCGGAAUUACUGGGCGUAAAGCGCGCGUAGGUGGUUUUGUAAGUUGGAGGUGAAAUCGCCGGGCUCAACCUGGGAACUGCCUCCAAAACUGCAUGACUAGAGUACGGUAGAGGGUAGUGGAAUUUCCUGUGUAGCGGUGAAAUGCGUAGAUAUAGGAAGGAACACCAGUGGCGAAGGCGACUACCUGGACUGAUACUGACACUGAGGUGCGAAAGCGUGGGGAGCAAACAGGAUUAGAAACCCCUGUAGUCC